GAUGAACGCUGGCGGCGUGCUUAACACAUGCAAGUCGAACGGAAAGGCCAGUGCUUGCACUGGUGCUCGAGUGGCGAACGGGUGAGUAACACGUGGGUGAUCUGCCCUGCACUUUGGGAUAAGCCUGGGAAACUGGGUCUAAUACCAGAUAGGACCAUGCUUUGGAUGGUGUGGUGGAAAGUUUUUUCGGUGUGGGAUGAGCUUGCGGCCUAUCAGCUUGUUGGUGGGGUAAUGGCCUACCAAGGCGUCGACGGGUAGCCGGCCUGAGAGGGUGUACGGCCACAUUGGGACUGAGAUACGGCCCAGACUCCUACGGGAGGCAGCAGUGGGGAAUAUUGCACAAUGGGCGCGAGCCUGAUGCAGCGACGCCGCGUGGGGGAUGACGGCCUUCGGGUUGUAAACUCCUUUCGCAACUGACGAAGCUUUUUGUGACGGUAGGUUGAGAAGAAGCACCGGCUAACUACGUG
Molecule: ribosomal RNA, 467 nt
Filed under: uncultured bacterium
Lineage: Bacteria
Description: partial 16S ribosomal RNA
Rfam family: Bacterial small subunit ribosomal RNA
Source: RNAcentral